UACGUAGGGUGCGAGCGUUGUCCGGAAUUACUGGGCGUAAAGAGCUCGUAGGCGGUUUGUCGCGUUGUUCGUGAAAUCUCACGGCUUAACUGUGAGCGUGCGGGCGAUACGGGCAGACUGGAGUACUGCAGGGGAGACUGGAAUUCCUGGUGUAGCGGUGGAAUGCGCAGAUAUCAGGAGGAACACCGGUGGCGAAGGCGGGUCUCUGGGCAGUAACUGACGCUGAGGAGCGAAAGCGUGGGGAGCGAACAGG
Molecule: ribosomal RNA, 253 nt
Filed under: uncultured bacterium
Lineage: Bacteria
Description: partial 16S ribosomal RNA
Rfam family: Bacterial small subunit ribosomal RNA
Source: RNAcentral